UCGAAAUAUUUUGCUGUUGGGCCAUAACAUGUAUAGCUGAGCAGGGGCGUAGGAACCGGGGGCACGGGGAGCACGUCCCCCCCCCCCCGCAAAUUUUUCCAAAGGACUAAAAGUGACCCUUUUUGUGAUAAAAAUUGCCCUUUUUUGUGAUGAAAAGUGCCCUUUUUGUAGAAGCUAAUGUCGAAGCUAAUUGUAGGCGCCCUUUUUUUAAUUGUAGGUGCCUUUUUUGCUUUUUUUUUG
Molecule: non-coding RNA, 240 nt
Organism: Paramuricea clavata
Lineage: Eukaryota; Metazoa; Cnidaria; Anthozoa; Malacalcyonacea; Plexauridae
Source: the annotation of a GenBank genome assembly